Molecule: long non-coding RNA, 190 nt
Organism: Cydia amplana
Lineage: Eukaryota; Metazoa; Arthropoda; Insecta; Lepidoptera; Tortricidae
Exons: 3
Source: RefSeq, a predicted model, not a curated record
GGUACACAGGGAAUAAAAGGCGAGAGAGGAGAGAAGGGUCUACAAGGUGUAUCAGGAACUAAAGGGGACCGAGGUGACAGGGGCUCAGAUGGUAGUCCUGGCAAGUGCAAACCUUGUACGUGCCCUUCUGGCCCACCUGGCCCACCCGGCCCACCGGGCCCACCAGGCCCACCAGGUCUCUCCGGCAAAG